Molecule: long non-coding RNA, 1574 nt
Organism: Taeniopygia guttata (zebra finch)
Lineage: Eukaryota; Metazoa; Chordata; Aves; Passeriformes; Estrildidae
Source: Ensembl
AUGCGAGAGUUAUUUCAUGUCAUAGUGCAACAGACAAGACACCAAAAGGCCAAAGCAGUUAAAAACUUCAAUCCCAAAGUGGGACAUAACCUGACUGAAGAGGUAGACAAGUCAAGCCUUUUUAGCUCCAAGACAGGACAUGAGGAUGAAGCCAAAUCAUUGUUUAAACACCGUGUGGGUACUGCCAUAUCUGUACAGGCCAUCCACAGCCUCUCUUGGACACAGUGGAAGCUUUGUCAGGCAUGUGAUGUCACUGACACCACAGUAACCCGGUACCCCCUGCUGGAUCUCGUCUCCACCCCCAGAGGAGGUCACCUCCCAAAAGGAGAUCUGGAGUUCCAUGAACACUACCAACACUGCACCAGGAGUUAUUCAGCAGAAAAUACACAUGCAAUUGAAAAGAUGACAGAGCACAAGAUAUCUAGACAUUCUCUCAGUAUGUGCCAAGAAAAACCCAAUGGUUGUGGCCCAACAACAAAGAAACAGCAGGUGAGAGGUUCUGAAAGCAAAGUUUAAACCAGGAGGCUGAAAAAAGCAGUCCUACAUAAUAGCAUUCUUCAAUGGUCCUGCUUUUAUACACUCUGUCAGAUAAGAGUUUCACUGCAUGAUUGAUUAAACUCUGUGGGGAAAAGGGGAUUAUAUUUAUUAGUAUCUGGUAACAUUUUGAAGCAGAUUAAGUUUAUAUAAGUUGGAUUCUGCCUAAUCAAAACAGAAUCAGUGCUGCUGACAUUUAAGAUUAAAGACACUAUGAGGCAAUUUUAAAAUGAAAACCAAGGAAAUUAUGCCAGAUGUGGAAAAUAAAUUGUUCGGAUUGAUCUAUUUGUGUGGUCUGAAAUCACAGAAAGCCUAUGACUUAGAAAAAGGGAUAGGAUAGAAGGUAAGAAAAAUACAGAGAAAAAACAAUAACCUGGAUAAACAGAGCAUAUAAAACUGUGCAACCAAAUCAAGACAAAUGCUUUGUUUUAUUUUACUUUAUUUGCUAAUAUGAAUCUUGCCUCAGAGUCUAUUUUUUAGCCACUGUAUUGCUUCUUGAAGUUGUUUAUGAAAGCACUUGCAAGAAAACAAACAGAUUUACUCCUGAAGAAUAUACAAGACCUAGUACAAGUUGAACCAGUGAAAGGCACAAAUACAAUAAUGUUUUAAGGAAAAACUGGCAAAAAUAAGGUUAAUAAGCUGUUAAAGGAUGAAAUGUUUUCAUUGGACAAAGGAGCUGUUUAAAGUAUCAUAUACAAAUUUAAAAAGUGAACUUAGGCCUCUUGUAAGUCUACUCAUGCUAUAGAGUUAUUGUAGCCUUAAUGUUCUGAGAAAAGUAAAUGAGGCAAGAAUGAUCUUUUCCAACUAAAUUUUACUGUUUAAUAAAACAUACUUACUUUCUUUUCAAGCCUUUCAUAACCUAUACUAUUACUCAAUUGCUUUCUUAUAAUAUAAAUCUGCAAAGGAAUUUAAACAUUCAAUUGCUGAACAAGUAAUUGAGGUAAAUAAUCAAAGGCAUUAGCAGGCCUCAGCAUCAGAGAAAAAGAAAUACCAAAUGAAAGAUUUUGAAGAGUACUCAGAGAACUAUCCAGGGAACUACU